This 356-nucleotide ribosomal RNA is filed under the name uncultured Glomus. RNAcentral's name for it is "SSU rRNA". It matches the Rfam family "Eukaryotic small subunit ribosomal RNA", at positions 569 to 929 of the family's 1831-position model. The record is from RNAcentral. Lineage: Eukaryota; Fungi; Glomeromycota; Glomeromycetes; Glomerales; Glomeraceae.
AGCAGCCGCGGUAAUUCCAGCUCCAAUAGCGUAUAUUAAAGUUGUUGCAGUUAAAAAGCUCGUAGUUGAAUUUCGGGGUCAAUAUAUCGGUCGUGCCAUCGGUACGUACCGGUAUGAUUGGUUUCUCCUUUCUGACGAACCGUGAUGUCAUUAAUUUGGUGUUAUGGGAAGUUAGGACUGUUACUUUGAAAAAAUUAGAGUGUUUAAAGCAGGCUUUGGCUUGAAUACAUUAGCAUGGAAUAGUGAAAUAGGACGUUCGAACCUAUUUUGUUGGUUUCUAGGAUCAACGUAAUGAUUAAUAGGGAUAGUUGGGGGCAUUAGUAUUCAAUUGUCAGAGGUGAAAUUCUUGGAUUUAU